UGGGGAAUUUUGCACAAUGGGGGAAACCCGGAUGCAGCGACGCCGCGUGAUUUAGAAGGCCUUCGGGUUGUAAAAAUCUUUUCUAUGGGAAGAAAAGGACAGUACCAUAGGAAUAAGGACCGGCUAAUUACGUGCCAGCAGCCGCGGUAAUACGUAAGGUCCGAGCGUUGUCCGGAAUCAUUGGGCGUAAAGGGUACGUAGGCGGGUAAGCAAGUUAGAAGUGAAAUCCUAUAGCUCAACUAUAGUAAGCUUUUAAAACUGCUCAUCUUGAGGUAUGGAAGGGAAAGUGGAAUUCCUAGUGUAGCGGUGAAAUGCGCAGAUAUUAGGAGGAAUACCGGUGGCGAAGGCGACUUUCUGGCCAUAACCUGACGCUGAGGUACGAAAGCGUGGGUAGCAAACAGG
This 402-nucleotide ribosomal RNA is filed under the name bacterium. RNAcentral describes it as "partial 16S ribosomal RNA". It matches the Rfam family "Bacterial small subunit ribosomal RNA", at positions 355 to 776 of the family's 1533-position model. The record is from RNAcentral.